CGGGAUGUAGCGCAGCCUGGUAGCGCACUUCGUUCGGGACGAAGGGGUCGGAGGUUCAAAUCCUCUCAUCCCGACCA
Molecule: transfer RNA, 77 nt
Filed under: Candidatus Nitronauta litoralis
Lineage: Bacteria; Pseudomonadati; Nitrospinota; Nitrospinia; Nitrospinales; Nitrospinaceae
Also listed under: 1 other name
Description: tRNA-Pro
Rfam family: tRNA
About the family: Transfer RNA (tRNA) molecules are approximately 80 nucleotides in length. Their secondary structure includes four short double-helical elements and three loops (D, anti-codon, and T loops). Further hydrogen bonds mediate the characteristic L-shaped molecular structure. tRNAs have two regions of fundamental functional importance: the anti-codon, which is responsible for specific mRNA codon recognition, and the 3' end, to which the tRNAs corresponding amino acid is attached (by aminoacyl-tRNA synthetases). tRNAs cope with the degeneracy of the genetic code in two manners: having more than one tRNA (with a specific anti-codon) for a particular amino acid; and 'wobble' base-pairing, i.e. permitting non-standard base-pairing at the 3rd anti-codon position.
Source: RNAcentral